Molecule: ribosomal RNA, 2923 nt
Filed under: Lactiplantibacillus plantarum
Lineage: Bacteria; Bacillati; Bacillota; Bacilli; Lactobacillales; Lactobacillaceae
Description: bacterial LSU rRNA
Rfam family: Bacterial large subunit ribosomal RNA
Source: RNAcentral
AGGUUAAGUUAACAAGGGCGCAUGGUGAAUGCCUUGGCACUAGGAGCCGAUGAAGGACGGGACUAACACCGAUAUGCUUCGGGGAGCUGUACGUAAGCUAUGAUCCGGAGAUUUCCGAAUGGGGCAACCCAGCAGUUUUAAUCAACUGUUACCACUAGAUGAAUUCAUAGUCUAGUUGGAGGUAAACGCUGUGAACUGAAACAUCUCAUUAGCAGCAGGAAUAUAAAGAAAUUUCGAUUCCCUAAGUAGCGGCGAGCGAACGGGGAACAGCCCAAACCAAAGUGCUUGCACUUUGGGGUUGUAGGACUGAACAUUUGAGUUACCAAAGAACUUGAUAGUCGAAGGAUUUGGGAAAAUCCGCCAUAGAUGGUGAUAGCCCAGUAGAUUAAAUCAAAUUCUCUCAGUUCAGGAUCCUGAGUACGGCGGAGCACGUGAAAUUCCGUCGGAAUCCGGGAGGACCAUCUCCCAAGGCUAAAUACUACCUAGUGACCGAUAGUGAACCAGUACCGUGAGGGAAAGGUGAAAAGCACCCCGGGAGGGGAGUGAAAUAGUUCCUGAAACCAUGUGCCUACAAUAAGUCAGAGCGCGUUAAUGCGUGAUGGCGUGCCUUUUGUAGAAUGAACCGGCGAGUUAUGAUCCCGUGCAAGGUUAAGACUAAAAAGUCGGAGCCGUAGCGAAAGCGAGUCUGAAAUGGGCGUUUUGAGUACGAGGUUAUAGACCCGAAACCAGGUGACCUAUCCAUGUCCAGGUUGAAGGUGCGGUAAAACGCACUGGAGGACCGAACCCGUGUAAGUUGAAAAUUGCUGGGAUGAGGUGUGGAUAGCGGUGAAAUUCCAAACGAACUUGGAGAUAGCUGGUUCUCUCCGAAAUAGCUUUAGGGCUAGCCUCGGAAUUAGGAUCAUGGAGGUAGAGCACUAUUUGGACUAGGGGCCCGUCUUGGGUUACUGAAUUCAGAUAAACUCCGAAUGCCAUUGAUUCAUAUCCGGGAGUCAGACGAUGAGUGAUAAGAUCCACCGUCGAAAGGGGAACAGCCCAGACCAUCAGUUAAGGUCCCUAAAUGUAUGCUAAGUGGAAAAGGAUGUGGAGUUGCAUAGACAACUAGGAUGUUGGCUCAGAAGCAGCCACCAUUUAAAGAGUGCGUAAUAGCUCACUAGUCGAGUGAUCCUGCGCCGAAAAUGUACCGGGGCUAAGCAUACUACCGAAACCAUGGAUGCGACCAUUAGGUCGCGUGAUAGGAGAGCGUUCUAAGGGCGGUGAAGCAAGAUCGUGAGGACUUGUGGAGCGCUUAGAAGUGAGAAUGCCGGUAUGAGUAGCGAAAGAUAGGUGAGAAUCCUAUCCACCGAAUGACUAAGGUUUCCUGGGGAAGGCUCGUCCUCCCAGGGUUAGUCGGGACCUAAGUCGAGGCCGAGAGGCGUAGACGAUGGAUAACAGGUUGAGAUUCCUGUACUAGUUAAGUGCGUUUGAGCAAUGGAGGGACGCAGGAGGCUAAGAUGUGCAUUCUGUUGGAUUAGAAUGUCCAAGCAGUAAGUCUUGUGAAGAGUCAAAUGCUUUUCACUUUAAGGACAAGCUGUGAUGGGGAGCGAAAUUUAGUAGCGAAGCGUCUGAUGUCACACUGCCGAGAAAAGCUUCUAGUGAGUACUUAACUACCCGUACCGCAAACCGACACAGGUAGUCGAGGAGAGAAUCCUAAGGUGAGCGAGUGAACUCUCGUUAAGGAACUCGGCAAAAUGACCCCGUAACUUCGGGAGAAGGGGUGCUGAUCGCAAGAUCAGCCGCAGUGAAUAGGCCCAGGCGACUGUUUAUCAAAAACACAGGUCUCUGCAAAAUCGUAAGAUGACGUAUAGGGGCUGACGCCUGCCCGGUGCUGGAAGGUUAAAAGGAUGGGUUAGCUUCGGCGAAGCUCAGAAUUGAAGCCCCAGUAAACGGCGGCCGUAACUAUAACGGUCCUAAGGUAGCGAAAUUCCUUGUCGGGUAAGUUCCGACCCGCACGAAAGGCGUAACGAUCUGGGCACUGUCUCAACGAGAGACUCGGUGAAAUUAUAUUGUCCGUGAAGAUGCGGACUACCCGCGACAGGACGGAAAGACCCCAUGGAGCUUUACUGUAGCUUGAUAUUGAGUGUUUGUACAGCUUGUACAGGAUAGGUAGGAGCCAUAGAAACCGGAACGCUAGUUUCGGUGGAGGCGUUGGUGGGAUACUACCCUCGCUGUAUGACCACUCUAACCCGCACCACUAAUCGUGGUGGGAGACAGUGUCAGGUGGGCAGUUUGACUGGGGCGGUCGCCUCCUAAAAAGUAACGGAGGCGCCCAAAGGUUCCCUCAGAAUGGUUGGAAAUCAUUCGCAGAGUGUAAAGGCACAAGGGAGCUUGACUGCGAGACAGACAGGUCGAGCAGGGACGAAAGUCGGGCUUAGUGAUCCGGUGGUACCGUAUGGAAGGGCCAUCGCUCAACGGAUAAAAGCUACCCUGGGGAUAACAGGCUUAUCUCCCCCAAGAGUCCACAUCGACGGGGAGGUUUGGCACCUCGAUGUCGGCUCAUCGCAUCCUGGGGCUGUAGUCGGUCCCAAGGGUUGGGCUGUUCGCCCAUUAAAGCGGUACGCGAGCUGGGUUCAGAACGUCGUGAGACAGUUCGGUCCCUAUCCGUCGCGGGCGUAGGAAAUUUGAGAGGACCUGUCCUUAGUACGAGAGGACCGGGAUGGACAUACCUCUGGUGUACCAGUUGUGCCGCCAGGCGCAUCGCUGGGUAGCUACGUAUGGAUGUGAUAAACGCUGAAAGCAUCUAAGUGUGAAACACACCUCGAGAUGAGAUUUCCCAUUCCUUUAUGGAAGUAAGACCCCUGAAAGAUGAUCAGGUAGAUAGGUUAGAAGUGGCAGUGCGGUGACGCAUGAAGCGGACUAAUACUAAUCGGUCGAGGACUUAACCAAG